This 1542-nucleotide ribosomal RNA is filed under the name Escherichia coli O55:H7 str. RM12579. RNAcentral's name for it is "16S ribosomal RNA". It matches the Rfam family "Bacterial small subunit ribosomal RNA". The record is from RNAcentral. Lineage: Bacteria; Pseudomonadati; Pseudomonadota; Gammaproteobacteria; Enterobacterales; Enterobacteriaceae.
AAAUUGAAGAGUUUGAUCAUGGCUCAGAUUGAACGCUGGCGGCAGGCCUAACACAUGCAAGUCGAACGGUAACAGGAAGAAGCUUGCUUCUUUGCUGACGAGUGGCGGACGGGUGAGUAAUGUCUGGGAAACUGCCUGAUGGAGAGGGAUAACUACUGGAAACGGUAGCUAAUACCGCAUAACGUCGCAAGACCAAAGAGGGGGACCUUUGGGCCUCUUGCCAUCGGAUGUGCCCAGAUGGGAUUAGCUAGUAGGUGGGGUAACGGCUCACCUAGGCGACGAUCCCUAGCUGGUCUGAGAGGAUGACCAGCCACACUGGAACUGAGACACGGUCCAGACUCCUACGGGAGGCAGCAGUGGGGAAUAUUGCACAAUGGGCGCAAGCCUGAUGCAGCCAUGCCGCGUGUAUGAAGAAGGCCUUCGGGUUGUAAAGUACUUUCAGCGGGGAGGAAGGGAGUAAAGUUAAUACCUUUGCUCAUUGACGUUACCCGCAGAAGAAGCACCGGCUAACUCCGUGCCAGCAGCCGCGGUAAUACGGAGGGUGCAAGCGUUAAUCGGAAUUACUGGGCGUAAAGCGCACGCAGGCGGUUUGUUAAGUCAGAUGUGAAAUCCCCGGGCUCAACCUGGGAACUGCAUCUGAUACUGGCAAGCUUGAGUCUCGUAGAGGGGGGUAGAAUUCCAAGUGUAGCGGUGAAAUGCGUAGAGAUCUGGAGGAAUACCGGUGGCGAAGGCGGCCCCCUGGACGAAGACUGACGCUCAGGUGCGAAAGCGUGGGGAGCAAACAGGAUUAGAUACCCUGGUAGUCCACGCCGUAAACGAUGUCGACUUGGAGGUUGUGCCCUUGAGGCGUGGCUUCCGGAGCUAACGCGUUAAGUCGACCGCCUGGGGAGUACGGCCGCAAGGUUAAAACUCAAAUGAAUUGACGGGGGCCCGCACAAGCGGUGGAGCAUGUGGUUUAAUUCGAUGCAACGCGAAGAACCUUACCUGGUCUUGACAUCCACGGAAGUUUUCAGAGAUGAGAAUGUGCCUUCGGGAACCGUGAGACAGGUGCUGCAUGGCUGUCGUCAGCUCGUGUUGUGAAAUGUUGGGUUAAGUCCCGCAACGAGCGCAACCCUUAUCCUUUGUUGCCAGCGGUCCGGCCGGGAACUCAAAGGAGACUGCCAGUGAUAAACUGGAGGAAGGUGGGGAUGACGUCAAGUCAUCAUGGCCCUUACGACCAGGGCUACACACGUGCUACAAUGGCGCAUACAAAGAGAAGCGACCUCGCGAGAGCAAGCGGACCUCAUAAAGUGCGUCGUAGUCCGGAUUGGAGUCUGCAACUCGACUCCAUGAAGUCGGAAUCGCUAGUAAUCGUGGAUCAGAAUGCCACGGUGAAUACGUUCCCGGGCCUUGUACACACCGCCCGUCACACCAUGGGAGUGGGUUGCAAAAGAAGUAGGUAGCUUAACCUUCGGGAGGGCGCUUACCACUUUGUGAUUCAUGACUGGGGUGAAGUCGUAACAAGGUAACCGUAGGGGAACCUGCGGUUGGAUCACCUCCUUA